RNAcentral lists this long non-coding RNA (4437 nucleotides) under Danio rerio (zebrafish). RNAcentral describes it as "lncRNA (ENSDARG00000117550.1)". Lineage: Eukaryota; Metazoa; Chordata; Actinopteri; Cypriniformes; Danionidae. The record is from RNAcentral.
GGUGCGUGUGGAGACUCACAGCAGCUUCAGCAUGCGGUCAGAGAUGAUGAAAACACACGAGCGGCGGCUCCAGACUCUGCCAGCGAGUCUCUCUCUGAAACCUCAGACAGUGGAUUGGUGAAGCAGAGCGAUGUGGAGGAUCCUCCAGCUCACCUGCAGACGGCCAGCAGCACUGAACACACCACUCCUCCAAAAACACCCUCUGCUGCCAGCCUGGCCGAGUCUGUGCAGUCCAACACACACAGCAGUGGGAAGCUGCGGCCCAGUCGAGUUCAGAGUGUGGUGUCCAGUCAGGGCAGCCUGGACUCAGACAUGCUGGGUGAGACUCCACUGAUUAUGCGCACACUCGCUCACGCACUCAUCUGUCCUCCUGCAUCAACUCUCCUCCUGCAUGUGUGUGUUUUUCAGGUUACGACGGUGGCAGCAGCGACUCGGAGUGUGAAGGACCCACGAUGAACGAGCAGGAGAAGCAGACGCCGCUCAUGCCUGAUUUCUGGCUCAUCAUCAGGAUCCAUCAGGACCGGGUGCAGGUUUUCUCUCACUCCAGGAGUUUGCAUCGAGGGAAAGAGGAGGAAGAGGAGGAGGAGAUCCCCGAAUACCUGCGCCUUCAUCAGCUGGUGGUGCGCAGGAUUGGAGAAAUGUGCCGAAUAGUCAACCAGCGCCUCCUGCUGCAGGAUCUGCAUGACAGUCGUGUGUGCCACUCUCUCCUGGUGGCGGAGAGUGAGGAGGACAUCUGGAAACAUGAGUCGCUCUACCGGCCCCGGAUGACCCACUCUGAUGACUAUAAUGCUGACGAGAGCUAUCAGCGGCGGGAUUACCUCGCCGCCACCAUGCACUUCAUACCGGGUUACUUCGCCUGUGACGUGGUGUGGAGCACCGUUAUUUACAUCCACCCGCGGCUCAAGAUGGGGCCCAACAUGGGUGUGUCCCGCGCUAUGCAGGCUCUGCACUCCGUUCUCAACGCUUUCUGUGUGGUGAACCGCAAAAACAUGUUUGUCUAUCAGGAGCGCACCACUAAAUCUGUGUUCUACCUCCGGCUCUCCGAGACGUCUCAGGCAGGGAAGUACAGUGAUUUGGAUGGAAACGUGCACAUGUCGCGCUCUGUCGGUCUGGCUCGCAGCCAGGAGCCGCUAGGCUCAGAGGACCUCACGGGAUCGCGCUCGUCUCUGGAAGGCUCGAGGCCAGUUGGACUGGUGGACAAACACAUUCUGCUGCUAGUUCAUGGUGUAGGAACUGCAGGUCCAGAGAUCUCGGAUGAGCUGAUGAAGCUCUUGAGGAAGCGUCUGGAUGAAGCCACACUGGACAUUAUUACAGUCAUGCUGGUCAGAAACUGCAAACUGACCCCUGCAGAUGUGGAGUUUAUCCAGCCUCCCGGGUCUCCAGCGACGGAGGUGAUGGAGUUCUGUCUGCCUCAGUACUGUGGGCCGUGGAUCCAGGCGGUGGCUCACUAUCUCCGGCAGAACCUGCUCAUUUUUCUCCACAUCCCCAAAUACACUGACAGCAACAUCGAGCACCACUUUAAGCAUUAUUUCCAUUCAAGUAGCGAGCUGCCCGAUCAUGACAUCUACCUGUACAAUAAACCUGGAGGACAGGGCACCGGAGGCAAAGGUAUCGUCUGCAUCGUGCUGUCGUUCGUGGAUGAUAAAGGCUGUGCGCUGUUGCUUACUGCUCAGGACGCCAGUGUUUCGGCUGUAAGAGGAGAUGCCACCGCCAUUUCCAUCCAGCCGGACCAGUUUGAGACCUUGACAACCGUUGUCAAGGUGGACUCUCGCAACCAGAGCUCAGGUGUUCGCGUGCGCUUUGACGUGUGGGAGCAGGGGAACAUCGAUCCUCUACAGCUGGCAAACAGACUGAAAGCUGCUCUACGCCACGCUCUCUGUGAUGUUAUUAUGGAGAUGCGUGUACUGCCCAGUCCACUGUGUCUGGACACCUUCUGCCUGCCCACUGCCACCCCGCGGGAGGAGAGCUCAGUUCCCUUAAGUCUUGUGCCGUCAGACAGUAAGGAGCAGAAGAAGACUCCUCGGCGUCCCAGCACAGAUCAAGCUCUCAGAAGCAGCCCGUCUCCCAUCAGCCUGAUCUCUGCACCCGCUUCCACCCCGACCACAGGAACCAGCACUCCCGAAUCCACAACACCCACCGGGAAAAGCACUCGCCGCAGCUUCUGGGAGAUGCUGAGCAAACCAGAGACUUCUGAAAUUGGCAGUCCGAAGACAACGGAUGAUAUUAUACCGGAGCGAGCGGAGGAUAGUCGGAUGGGAAGACGCAGACACAAGACGGAGAACGUCAAACAGUGGAGCCAUGAGAAAGCCAUGGCUGUGGAACAAGAGCAGGCUCAGAGGAGACGUGCGGUUCAGUUGGAGGAAGGAGAUACGGGGACUCUUCAGCCUGUUUACCAGACCACAUACAUGCCCUGGGUCAUGUUCAUGAAUAAACUGGGUUGUCCGUCCAUCCAGCACUGUUCAGCUGAAGUCUCGCAUCACUUCCUCCUGCCCUCCGUCCUCACAGAGUUGGUCAAUCUGGUCACUUCUCUGGCCAGUGACACCACAGUCAAAGUAUUCGAAAGAAGCAGCUGCCCUCAGGGAGAUAUUUACAUACCUCUGUCAAUCAUCCAGCACAUCAGCCAAUCACCUGCCACCACCAGGAGCUUCAUUCUCAUUGGUCGCAACUUCAGCCAGUGGCAUUGCAGUACUGAGCAAGAAGACAGUUCAGAUGAAGAGAACAGUCCAGUACUAAAUAGGUGCACACCUCAUAAAGGCCUGCAGCGGUUCGAGGCUUUGGAGCACAGUGAUUGGCUGAGCCCGGGUCAGGCUGUGAGGGGCGUGGCUCCACGACAGCGUUUCCUGUUCAUUCACAUCGUCAACAAGAAGGUGACUCUGUACACGUAUAACUGGUCAGUGGAUCUGGGCGGCUCUCUGAAUCAGGCUCUGGUUAGGCUGGUGCAGUGGCAGAACGCUCGCGCACACGUGGUCAACUGCCUCCUGGGUCAGAAAAUGGGCCUUUUCCAUCAUUACUGCUUCUCUGAUACGCCUACACACGAGGAGCUGAAGCAGGAGCAAAACCCAUUCCUGAACUCCACGAUGGAGGCAGACGCUCUAUUAAGGAGUCCGGUUCCUCCGGCCGCCAGUAAGGAUCCGGGUCGACUAGGCAGCUCUGCGCGUGUUCUUCCUCCUCUGCCAUUUCCUGGUGAACUCGUGCCCUUUGAUGAAGCUCUGAGAGACGUCAACACUAACAGACCCCUGAGCAGUCAGGACGGGGCUGAUAUAGUGGCUCGACACGGAGCCCAGCUGCUGGAGGUCAAAGCAGCUGAACGCAGAGAGUUGGAGAGACAGAUGAAGAUCGAGAAUCUGUUUGUGACGUGGCAGCAGCGCUCGGCUCAGUCCAACAUGCCCAUAUCGGUGGCAGAUCUGGACACUCUAAAGCAAUCCUCUAGACUGGUUCAUUACUGCGCCACACCACUGCUCUUUGACCCUGUGUUCAGAAAACAGAUUCAGGAGGAACAGGUGCCACAGCCACAGAUGAAGAAGCGUCAUCGCUCCAGUGACUCGACAGCCUCGGGCCGGGACCGCAGCUACAGCACAGACUCUGCAGAGAUGCUGCCGAGCCGGCUGAAGGAGGAGCCGUGGCUGCAGGACAUCUCCAACACCUUCCUGCAGCAGUACGUGCAGUAUCUGCAGAGCAUGGGCUUCAUCCUGGUGCAGGUCCGGCCGCAGUCGCCAGCACGCAGCAUCGCUCGAGCUCGCGCCGCCAUGUUGAGCUCUCUGUCCACUGAAGGCAGAUCUUCAUUCUCAUCGUUCUCAUAUAAUAAGCAGAAGAGUGAAGACAGCAGCCCUAAGCAGAGCAGUUCGUCAGGCUCUGUGUCGUAUCACCUGCAGAGGGCGCUGCCGGGAGGAAUCGUGCUGAUGGAGCUGGCCUUUCAGGUAAGAGCUUCAUCUUCUGUCUUCAGAGCAGAGUUUUUAUUUUUCAGGCCUCAGAAUCAGCACACAGCAGACACUGGGCUUUUACAACAACACUGAACGUCUCGGCAGACACAGAGGAGAAAGAGAGAUGCUUAAUGGAGUCUGCCUCGCUCGCGCACUAUUUAUGCUUAUUAAUAUUUGAACACACAGAAUCAACAGCGAGGAAACAACAUGCCAUCUGAUCUCCAGCCUUCCUCACGCCUCACAUCUCUCACAAUUCACUUUCAGAGUGUUUUGAAGAUAUUGUUAUUACGGCUGUCAAAAUAAUUCAUUAAGACCUGAUAAUAAUCAUCAUCAUCAAUAUUAAUAAUGAUUUGCUUAUUUAUGAAUAAUAAAUCUAUUUAUAUCAAUCGUGUCAUCAUUUAGAAUUAUUAUUAAUUUUGUUAUUCUUAUACUUGUUAUUAAUAGUAGCAGUAAUAAUAAUAGUAAUAGCAAUAAAAAAAUGUAAUAUUGUUGUAAUUAUAAUUCAUACUUUAUUGAA